CCUACGGGCGGCAGCAGUGGGGAAUAUUGCACAAUGGGGGAAACCCUGAUGCAGCGACGCCGCGUGAGUGAAGAAGUAAUUCGUUAUGUAAAGCUCUAUCAGCAGGGAAGAAAAUGACGGUACCUGAGUAAGAAGCUCCGGCCAACUACGUGCCAGCAGCCGCGGUAAUACGUAGGGGGCAAGCGUUAUCCGGAUUUACUGGGUGUAAAGGGAGCGUAGACGGCAGUGCAAGUCUGGAGUGAAAGGCGGGGGCUCAACCCCCGGACUGCUCUGGAAACUGGACGGCUGGAGUGCCGGAGAGGUAGGCGGAAUUCCUAGUGUAGCGGUGAAAUGCGUAGAUAUUAGGAGGAACACCAGUGGCGAAGGCGGCCUACUGGACGGUGACUGACGCUGAGGCUCGAAAGCGUGGGGAGCGAACAGGAUUAGAUACCCGGGUAGUC
RNAcentral lists this ribosomal RNA (440 nucleotides) under uncultured bacterium. Its description in RNAcentral is "partial 16S ribosomal RNA". It matches the Rfam family "Bacterial small subunit ribosomal RNA", at positions 338 to 795 of the family's 1533-position model. The record is from RNAcentral.